This 206-nucleotide ribosomal RNA is filed under the name uncultured bacterium. RNAcentral's name for it is "partial 16S ribosomal RNA". It matches the Rfam family "Bacterial small subunit ribosomal RNA", at positions 570 to 774 of the family's 1533-position model. The record is from RNAcentral.
CGCAGGUGGAUUAGCAAGUCAGAGGUGAAAUCCUACAGCUUAACUGUAGAACUGCCUUUGAUACUGCUGAUCUUGAGUAAAGGAAGAGAGAGAUGGAAUUCCAGGUGUAGUGGUGAAAUACGUAGAUAUCUGGAAGAACACCAGUGGCGAAGGCGGUCUCUUGGUCCUAUACUGACGCUAAGGCGCGAAAGCGUGGGGAGCAAACA